This is a long non-coding RNA of Falco peregrinus (peregrine falcon), 658 nucleotides long. RefSeq lists it as uncharacterized. The record is from RefSeq and is a predicted model, not a curated record. NCBI's taxonomy places the organism in Eukaryota, Metazoa, Chordata, Aves, Falconiformes, Falconidae. The transcript has 6 exons.
GGAAGUUGUCAGAUGAAGGGGAUUGGAAAGGAUUCGGCCAAACUUGCCAGGUGAUGUCUCAGAUGCUGAAACACAAAGCAAGCUAUACCUGACCAAGGGUAUUUGCUGUCACAAAGAAUAAACUGGGACCCUCUUACCAUCUCAGCCACCAGUGGCUAAAAGGGAAGGAUCAUCAAGAGAGACAAACAGAAAAGACACAACUUCCUUCAAGGACUUCUGAGCCCGUUUCUAGUUCUUGCCACCCAAGAAAAAGAAAAUGUUGGCUUCUGACUAAUACCACACUACCCGGCUGCAACCACAGGCUGUGCUGGAGCCCUUCAAACCAGGCUGCAUUCUCCUGGGGACAGCAUCGCCCCACAUGGCCGCAUCCCCUCCCUUGCCUGCCUUCCUCUAGGCACGGCUGAGGAUGAAGAAUGGCCAGUGCCUGGAUUUCCAAAUGGUGUGAAGCGCAGGACCUCUGAACAGCCUGAUGCCACCUACCCCUGCCAAAAUGGGAAGCUCAGUAAGCCCCACCUCAGCAUAGAGAGACCAGGAGUAACCACCGCCACCUCCUGGAAUUCUUAGACUCUGAGAAGAUCCUAUGAUGUCAAGGACUCAGAACAAACAAGGACUUUCUCGCAAGAAGAACCAUCUCAGAAAUUAAUCUAAAAGUUUUCAG